This 259-nucleotide ribosomal RNA is filed under the name uncultured bacterium. RNAcentral describes it as "partial 16S ribosomal RNA". It matches the Rfam family "Bacterial small subunit ribosomal RNA", at positions 793 to 1050 of the family's 1533-position model. The record is from RNAcentral.
GUCCACGCCGUAAACGAUGGUCACUAGGUGUUUGGUGGAUUAACCCACUGAGUACCAAAGCUCACGCAUUAAGUGACCCGCCUGGGGAGUACGGUCGCAAGGCUAAAACUCAAAGGAAUUGACGGGGGCCCGCACAAGCGGUGGAGUAUGUGGUUUAAUUCGAAGCAACGCGAAGAACCUUACCUGGCCUUGACAUCCCGUGACAAUCUCAGAGAUGAGACUUUCCCUUCGGGGACGCGGUGACAGGUGCCGCAUGGCU